GAUGAUGCUCUUGUUCUUGGAGAGGCCCAGCUUGCUUCCCUGGUCUGUGGCCAAGGCAAAAGUGGACAGGAAGGCCGGCCUCAGAGCGUGGACUGGGGCGUUGUCAUUGGCAACUGCAGGGACACAGCAAAAAUGUUAACAAAUACUCUCUGCACAGUGAUUGGCUGCUCUGCCUUUGUUCUGCCCACACCAUACGAGUCACAUAUUGUGUUAUAAAAUAUGCAUUAUAUACUGUAUGCAUGAUGUUUUCUUUUACUUCCCUUUAAGGCAAAUUAUAAACCUAUGUUCUGGAUUCAUAUUCAGUCAUUGUACCUGGGCAGACACGGGUUUGUAUGGCUUUCCAGUGGUGAGUCUGACCAAACCAGUGAUUUAUUAAUCGUACGACGUGAACAGAUGGGAGGACAGAUGCAGCGAGACUUUGCUGGACUGCUGAUGACAUUAAGUCACACAAUGGCUGUUAUUGAGAGAAGGGCAGAGACUGUGGAAACAGCAAACAGGAAGAAGGACGGAGAGUCCGUACUCACAUCAGCCAUGGCGGCCCGUGUUUUCUCGUGUCAGCAACUGUAGGAGAGGAAACAGCCAACAUGACACGUUCUCG
Long non-coding RNA from Scophthalmus maximus (turbot), 598 nucleotides. RefSeq lists it as uncharacterized. The record is from RefSeq and is a predicted model, not a curated record. The transcript has 3 exons. Lineage: Eukaryota; Metazoa; Chordata; Actinopteri; Pleuronectiformes; Scophthalmidae.